RNAcentral lists this transfer RNA (75 nucleotides) under Candidatus Scalindua rubra. RNAcentral's name for it is "tRNA-Lys". It matches the Rfam family "tRNA". Rfam says of the family: Transfer RNA (tRNA) molecules are approximately 80 nucleotides in length. Their secondary structure includes four short double-helical elements and three loops (D, anti-codon, and T loops). The record is from RNAcentral. Lineage: Bacteria; Pseudomonadati; Planctomycetota; Candidatus Brocadiia; Candidatus Brocadiales; Candidatus Scalinduaceae.
GCGCCCUUAGCUCAGCCAGGCAGAGCAACUGACUCUUAAUCAGUGGGUCGAAGGUUCGAUUCCUUCAGGGCGCAC